Long non-coding RNA from Solenopsis invicta (red fire ant), 249 nucleotides. RefSeq lists it as uncharacterized. The record is from RefSeq and is a predicted model, not a curated record. The transcript is spliced from 2 exons. Lineage: Eukaryota; Metazoa; Arthropoda; Insecta; Hymenoptera; Formicidae.
CUUUGCGUAUUCAUAUACAAGUCAUUUAACAUAGAAACAUUGCAGAAAUGUUUCAAUUUACAAGAUUGCAACAUUGUAUAACUAUUGAUUCAAUUUUGGGCUUUUUGUUUUAUCUGUUGUUUAACUACGACAAAUCAAAAUCUGCUACGUUCAUCAAGUGGAGUAAAUAUAUUAAAUAAAAAUUUUAUAAGAAGAACUACGAGUCAUUAAAUUGCUGAUUUGGAUAAAAAAGCAAUAAACGAAAGAAAU